CUGGUUGAUCCUGCCAGUAGUCAUAUGCUUGUCUCAAAGAUUAAGCCAUGCAUGUCUAAGUCCAAGCUGUGUUCACACGGCGAGACCGCGGACGGCUCAUUAAAUCAGUCGUGGUCCAAAUGGGCCAGUGCAAAUCCUACUUGGAUAACUGUGGUAAUUCCAGAGCUAAUACAUGCAACUGAUAUCCCGAAGGCGGUUUUUGUGCUUGCUUGUCUUGCGCUUUCACUGUUCUGACGGAUGCUUUUAUUAGACCAAGCCGCUGAGGACUUGAGGGUUCGCGCUCUCUUGUUUGACUCGUGUGAUGGUGACUCUGGAUAACCAAAUUCUGACAAGCGCACGUACUUCUCUUCUGAGCGAGACGGCGCUGCCACUUUCGAGUGUCUGCCUUAUCAGCUAUCAACCGUUCGUUAUGCGCGACCGAUGGCUUUGACGGGUAACGGGGAAUCAGGGUUCGAUUCCGGAGAGGCAGCCUGAGAGACGGCUACCACGUCCAAGGACGGCAGCAGGCACGCAAAUUACCCAAUCCCAGCAAAUGGGGGAGGUAGUGACGAAAUCUAACGAUGCGGGCGCCCUUUCUGGGGCCCCGCAAUCGGAAUGGGCACUUUCUAAACAACCUGUUGAGAACCUACUGAAGGGCAAGUCUGGUGCCAGCAGCCGCGGUAAUUCCAGCUUCAGCAGCAUCUAUUAAAGUUGCUGCRGUUAAAARGCUCGYAGUUGAAUGUCUGUAUCGAGCGCAGGUCAGGUGGACGUU
This 751-nucleotide ribosomal RNA is filed under the name Diplacanthus brevispinus. RNAcentral describes it as "bacterial SSU rRNA". It matches the Rfam family "Eukaryotic small subunit ribosomal RNA", at positions 4 to 672 of the family's 1831-position model. Lineage: Eukaryota; Metazoa; Arthropoda; Malacostraca; Amphipoda; Acanthogammaridae. The record is from RNAcentral.